This 432-nucleotide ribosomal RNA is filed under the name uncultured bacterium. RNAcentral describes it as "partial 16S ribosomal RNA". It matches the Rfam family "Bacterial small subunit ribosomal RNA", at positions 29 to 507 of the family's 1533-position model. The record is from RNAcentral.
AACGAACGCUGGCGGCAUGCCUAACACAUGCAAGUCGAACGAGACCUUCGGGUCUAGUGGCGCACGGGUGCGUACGCGUGGGAACCUGCCCUUAGGUUCGGAAUAACUCCCCGAAAGGGGUGCUAAUACCGGAUAAUGUCUUCGGACCAAAGAUUUAUCGCCUUUGGAUGGGCCCGCGUUGGAUUAGCUAGUUGGUAGGGUAAAAGCCUACCAAGGCGACGAUCCAUAGCUGGUCUGAGAGGAUGAUCAGCCACACUGGGACUGAGACACGGCCCAGACUCCUACGGGAGGCAGCAGUGGGGAAUAUUGGACAAUGGGCGAAAGCCUGAUCCAGCAAUGCCGCGUGAGUGAUGAAGGCCUUAGGGUUGUAAAGCUCUUUUACCCAGGAUGAUAAUGACAGUACCGGGAGAAUAAGCUCCGGCUAACUCCGUG